RNAcentral lists this ribosomal RNA (497 nucleotides) under uncultured bacterium. RNAcentral's name for it is "partial 16S ribosomal RNA". It matches the Rfam family "Bacterial small subunit ribosomal RNA", at positions 28 to 507 of the family's 1533-position model. The record is from RNAcentral.
GAUGAACGCUGGCGGCGUGCCUAAUACAUGCAAGUCGAGCGAACAGAUGAGGAGCUUGCUCCUCUGACGUUAGCGGCGGACGGGUGAGUAACACGUGGAUAACCUACCUAUAAGACUGGGAUAACUUCGGGAAACCGGAGCUAAUACCGGAUAAUAUAUUUAACCGCAUGGUUCAAUAGUUAAAGACGGUUUUGCUGUCACUUAUAGAUGUAUCCGCGCCGCAUUAGCUAGUUGGUAAGGUAACGGCUUACCAAGGCAACGAUGCGUAGCCGACCUGAGAGGGUGAUCGGCCACACUGGAACUGAGACACGGUACAGACGCCUACGGGAGGCAGCAGUAGGGAAUAUUCCGCAAUGGGCGAAAGCAUGACGGAGCAACGCCGCGUGAGUGAUGAAGGUCUUCGGAUCGUAAAACUCUGUUAUUAGGGAAGAACAAAUGUGUAAGUAACUAUGCACGUAUUGACGGUAACUAAUCAGAAAGCAACGGCUAACUACGUG